Dipodomys ordii (Ord's kangaroo rat) is the source of this 78-nucleotide non-coding RNA. Lineage: Eukaryota; Metazoa; Chordata; Mammalia; Rodentia; Heteromyidae. The record is from Rfam.
CUUUCUACACAGGUUGGGAUCAGUUGCAAUGCUGUGUUUCUGUGUGGUAUUGCACUUGUCCCGGCCUGUUGAGUUUGG